GCCAGGCAUGGUGGCGCAUGCCUGUAAUCCCAGCUACUCGGGAAGCUGAGGCAGGAGGAUUGUAAAUUCAAAGCCAACUUCAGCAACUUAGUGAGGACUUAAGCAACUUAGUAAGAUCCUGUCUCAG
RNAcentral lists this small RNA (127 nucleotides) under Marmota monax (woodchuck). Lineage: Eukaryota; Metazoa; Chordata; Mammalia; Rodentia; Sciuridae. The record is from RNAcentral.